GGAAUAUUAAUGGAAAAACGCAUCUCCUCCUAUGAACCCAAGACACCCCAUUGACCCCGAGGGCACCUCUGAACUUGAGGUAUUUAUAUCAGCCCCAGCACCAUUUCAAAGCUGUGGGACAUGGCACUGGAGGCGUGCGAGAUCCUUUUUGGAUUUCUCUCUGAGGUCACGUCACAUUUUGACAUAGGACCCCUUAUUUGAUAGCAGCUUCACAAAUCUUGCAUCCAUUGAACUUGUGAGUAUUUGGACAGUUUCUGCUU
Molecule: long non-coding RNA, 260 nt
Organism: Brienomyrus brachyistius
Lineage: Eukaryota; Metazoa; Chordata; Actinopteri; Osteoglossiformes; Mormyridae
Exons: 3
Source: RefSeq, a predicted model, not a curated record